This 256-nucleotide ribosomal RNA is filed under the name uncultured bacterium. RNAcentral describes it as "partial 16S ribosomal RNA". It matches the Rfam family "Bacterial small subunit ribosomal RNA", at positions 521 to 776 of the family's 1533-position model. The record is from RNAcentral.
UAAUACGAAGGGUGCAAGCGUUAAUCGGAAUUACUGGGCGUAAAGCGUGCGUAGACGGCCUUUUAAGUCUGCUGUGAAAGCCCUGGGCUCAACCUGGGAACUGCAGUGGAUACUGUGAGGCUGGAGUGCGGUAGAGGAUGGUGGAAUUCCCGGUGUAGCGGUGAAAUGCGUAGAGAUCGGGAGGAACAUCAGUGGCGAAGGCGGCCAUCUGGACCAGCACUGACGUUGAGGCACGAAAGCGUGGGGAGCAAACAGG